Astatotilapia calliptera (eastern happy) is the source of this 1087-nucleotide long non-coding RNA. The record is from Ensembl. NCBI's taxonomy places the organism in Eukaryota, Metazoa, Chordata, Actinopteri, Cichliformes, Cichlidae.
AAGGCUGAAGCGGUCCCUCCAACGGACCCUCCAGCGAAGACGGACGAAGGCUGAUGAAGGCUGGAGCGGUCCCACGGACCCUCCAGCAGACGACGAAGGCUGGAGCGGUCCCUCGGACCCUCCAGCGAACACAAACGAAGGCUGACGAAGGCUAGAGCGGUCCCACUGACCCUCCAGCAGACGAAGGCCGGAGCGGUCCCUCGGACCCUCCAGCAAAGACAAACGAAGGCUGGAGCGGUUCCCCGGACCCUCCAGCGAAGGCGGAUGAAGGCUGGAGCAGUCCCUCGGACCCUCCAGCAGACGACGAAGGCCGGGACGGUCCCUCGGACCCUCCAGCGAAGACAGACGGCUGAAGCGGUCCCUCCCCCGGACCCUCCAGCGACGGCGGACGGCUGAAGCGGUCCCCCGGGCCCUCCAGCGAUUGGACGAGCCCCCAUAUGUUACACCCCGGCCUAGGCAACCGGAGUGCAACACGAAAAAAAGUAAAAAUAAAGAAAAAAAAACACACAAAAAAAAACCCACUAAGGCUCUCCACCAAAGACGUCAAACUAUUUACAACGGGGGGAGAAAAAGAUCGCGACCAUGACAACUGACACACAGGGCUUAAAUACAUGGAGGGAACAAUCAGGGAAUGGACAACAGGAGGGAAACACAGCUGGGGCAAAUCAGAACUGACGAGACAGGGAAAAUGUAAACUGAACACACUAAGAUGACACAGACUUUCAAAGUAAAGUAGGAAACACAUAACAGUCACGCAAAAACAACACAUUACCAACGCCAAAUCGUCAAUCCCGGAGGAGCACCUAGACACUCAAAUCCACACACAAUUACGGUCACAGCCGUAACACAAUCAAGGUCUCGUUUAAAAACCAGAGGUGACCGUGCUUUUGCCAUCGCUGCCCCUGGACUCUGGAAUAAUCUCCCAGUGGAAAUCUGUACAUCGGAAUCAAUUCAGUCGUUCAAAUCCCAUUUGAAAACACACUUGUUCAACUUAGCUUUUGAAAACAAUUAGUGUGACUUUCAUUCGGCCUGCACUACACCAUGUAAAUGCAAUUUUAAGUAUAAUUGUACUAUUUGUUCUGCCCGC